This 25-nucleotide ribosomal RNA is filed under the name Cytospora nitschkeana. RNAcentral describes it as "Valsa germanica 5.8S ribosomal RNA". Lineage: Eukaryota; Fungi; Ascomycota; Sordariomycetes; Diaporthales; Cytosporaceae. RNAcentral also lists the same sequence under 3 other names. The record is from RNAcentral.
AGAGGGCAUGCCUGUUCGAGCGUCA